AUCACUUCUUGGCCUUAUUGGCUAAGAUCAAGUGUAGUAUCUAUUCUGAUCAGUUUAAUAUCUGGAAGGAAAAGAAAGAAAUAAUUAAAUCUGGAAGGAAGGAAU
This 105-nucleotide small nuclear RNA is filed under the name Chlorocebus sabaeus (green monkey). Its description in RNAcentral is "U2 spliceosomal RNA". It matches the Rfam family "U2 spliceosomal RNA", at positions 1 to 117 of the family's 192-position model. From Rfam's summary of the family: U2 is a small nuclear RNA (snRNA) component of the spliceosome (involved in pre-mRNA splicing). Complementary binding between U2 snRNA (in an area lying towards the 5' end but 3' to hairpin I) and the branchpoint sequence (BPS) of the intron results the bulging out of an unpaired adenosine, on the BPS, which initiates a nucleophilic attack at the intronic 5' splice site, thus starting the first of two transesterification reactions that mediate splicing. The record is from Rfam by way of RNAcentral. Lineage: Eukaryota; Metazoa; Chordata; Mammalia; Primates; Cercopithecidae.